Phasianus colchicus (ring-necked pheasant) is the source of this 471-nucleotide long non-coding RNA. RefSeq lists it as uncharacterized. Lineage: Eukaryota; Metazoa; Chordata; Aves; Galliformes; Phasianidae. The record is from RefSeq and is a predicted model, not a curated record.
CUGCUUUCUGGGGGGGAAUGCUCUCUUGUCAGAGACCCUUACUACCAGUCAGGUUCUCAGGAGUAAGCACAGUGGCUCUGCCAGAAAGGAAGGAAUACAUCUCAAACAUGGGAAUAUCAGGAAGGAAGAGAGGUAGACCCCAAAUUCCAUUCUGAAAACAUUUUUGGAGCAACACCCAGAUCAGCACGUGUGCAGGAGAUCCAAUCUGGAGGAGCUGAGAUUUGGUUAACUGUGGAGAUGUUAUUUUCAUUGAGAUAGUAAGCGUGUUCUGCAGCAUCCAGGCUGUUGACACCCAAAGAACAAAGGACAUUUGUGACUGAGUUUAACUGAGUUUAUUGCUUGACAUGGGAACGCUAUGAUGGUGCAUCACAAUAAGAAAAAUUACAGUUCAGUUGAGACUUGCGAUUGUUAACACAAAAGUAAAAAACUGAAAAGCCCCAAAUUUGAGUUUCUCUGAUACUGAUUUCUCUA